GAUGAACGCUGGCGGCGUGCCUAAUACAUGCAAGUCGAGCGAACAGACGAGGAGCUUGCUCCUCUGACGUUAGCGGCGGACGGGUGAGUAACACGUGGAUAACCUACCUAUAAGACUGGGAUAACUUCGGGAAACCGGAGCUAAUACCGGAUAAUAUAUUGAACCGCAUGGUUCGAUAGUGAAAGACGGUUUUGCUGUCACUUAUAGAUGGAUCCGCGCCGCAUUAGCUAGUUGGUAAGGUAACGGCUUACCAAGGCAACGAUGCGUAGCCGACCUGAGAGGGUGAUCGGCCACACUGGAACUGAGACACGGUCCAGACUCCUACGGGAGGCAGCAGUAGGGAAUCUUCCGCAAUGGGCGAAAGCCUGACGGAGCAACGCCGCGUGAGUGAUGAAGGUCUUCGGAUCGUAAAACUCUGUUAUUAGGGAAGAACAAAUGUGUAAGUAACUAUGCACGUCUUGACGGUACCUAAUCAGAAAGCCACGGCUAACUACGU
RNAcentral lists this ribosomal RNA (496 nucleotides) under uncultured bacterium. RNAcentral describes it as "partial 16S ribosomal RNA". It matches the Rfam family "Bacterial small subunit ribosomal RNA", at positions 28 to 506 of the family's 1533-position model. The record is from RNAcentral.